RNAcentral lists this ribosomal RNA (305 nucleotides) under uncultured bacterium. RNAcentral describes it as "bacterial SSU rRNA". It matches the Rfam family "Bacterial small subunit ribosomal RNA", at positions 337 to 639 of the family's 1533-position model. The record is from RNAcentral.
ACCUACGGGGGGCAGCAGUGAGGAAUAUUGGUCAAUGGGCGGUAGCCUGAACCAGCCAAGUAGCGUGAAGGAUGAAGGUUCUAUGGAUUGUAAACUUCUUUUGUAAAGGAAUAAAGUGAGGCACGUGUGGCUUUUUGUGUGUACUUGAUGAAUAAGGAUCGGCUAACUCCGUGCCAGCAGCCGCGGUAAUACGGAGGAUCCGAGCGUUAUCCGGAUUUAUUGGGUUUAAAGGGAGCGUAGGUGGGUUGUUAAGUCAGUGGUAAAAGUUUGCGGCUCAACCGAAAAAUUCCAAUGUAUACGGGCGU